AUUGGAAAAACAGGUCCAAUCCAAGGAUGCACCAACUCACAAUUUACAGGACUUAAAGUAUCUGCUGUUGACGGCUUGGUGCCAGAAACCACAGCAAACCUUCAAAGGUCAAGUGGAGUCAAUGAGAUCCCGGUUCAGGGCUACUUUGACUGAAAAAUGGAAACCACCUCAAUAUUAAGCAGGUGGUAAUAAUCUUAUGGCUGACUGGUGUAAAUGUGACAGUUGAGUGAUGGGAAGGGACUGAAGGUCCAGAAGCAUCUGGUGUACUCGUGGAGAAUGGAAAUGAAUGUUGCUGAUGAAGUGGGAAUGUGGCUGGAGGGAGGGACAGAAGGGCCAAGGCAAAGCAAAGACAUCAGCUGCUUUCUCCUGUUGCUUUAAACCUUCUUAUAAACGUGGAACUUUGGCUGUGGAUUCGUUUUGCUGCUCUUUUCUUUGGUAAGACACAAAGAACAACAUGUUUUUAUUCUUCUUCACAUGUUUUCAAUCAUUUCUUCUCAGGUUAACUGUAAUCUAUCUGAUAAUAAAUAUUAAAGCGGUCACAGCAGAUUCACAACAAUUAGCACCUUUUACAUGUCAGGGAACAAAGUGGCUCCUCAUCAGAUGUGAAAGAGGAAACCCGUCAGCUGAAAUAUGUCAUGAUGACGACAUACAAGACAAGUUGUACACGGAAAGGAGAGUGUCAGUAGGAUGUGUUGAGUGUCAGGUUGUCAGUCAGGGGAACAACACAGGGCUGUGAAUGAGCCCUGUCACUGUGAUCAGGCUCCUCCUUCUAAUCCACCAACUUAGUGUUGAUGAAGACCAAACAGAGAGAUCACAGCCUUCUUUAUACUCGCUGGAGCUCACAGUUACUCAGCACUGCAGACAUGACGCCUCUGUUCACCUCACUGUUGCUGGCUGCUAUGUGCUUUGAAUGCAGAGCACAGAAAGACAACGUGCUGCAACCAAAAGAAGAUGUGACUGCUGCUGAAGGAGAGGCAGUAACACUUGGCUGUCAAUAUAACAGCAGUGGAAC
Scatophagus argus is the source of this 1012-nucleotide long non-coding RNA. RefSeq lists it as uncharacterized. The transcript has 2 exons. Lineage: Eukaryota; Metazoa; Chordata; Actinopteri; Scatophagidae. The record is from RefSeq and is a predicted model, not a curated record.